This 401-nucleotide ribosomal RNA is filed under the name uncultured bacterium. RNAcentral describes it as "bacterial SSU rRNA". It matches the Rfam family "Bacterial small subunit ribosomal RNA", at positions 29 to 416 of the family's 1533-position model. The record is from RNAcentral.
AACGAACGUUGGCGGCGUGGAUGAGGCAUGCAAGUCGAACGCGAAAGCCGCAAGGUGAGUAGAGUGGCGGACGGGCGAGUAACACGUAAUCAAGCUACCUGCGAGACGGGAAUAACCUCGGGAAACCGAGGCUAAGACCCGAUGGUCUUCAUGGACCGCAUGGUCUGGGAAGUAAAUGGGCGGGAUCCUUCGGGAUCGCCUGCUCGCAGAGGUGAUUGCGGCCCAUCAGCUAGUUGGUAGGGUAAUGGCCUACCAAGGCAACGACGGGUAGCCGGCCUUAGAGGGUGGUCGGCCGCACUAGGACUGAGACACUGCCCAGACUCCUACGGGAGGCUGCAGUCGAGAAUCUUCCGCAAUGGGCGCAAGCCUGACGGAGCGACGCCGCGUGGAGGACGAAGGCC